GAAGCUCACCUGGUCUUCUUCCUGCAAUUAGACUCACCUGAGAGAGUAACUGAGGCUUUGUUUGGUGUUAAAUGUUAUAUAGAUUCCAAUCACCAAUAUGUCUCCGACCGGGGGAUUGUGUUCCAGUCAAGCCACCGAUCGGAGGACUUGGAAGUAAUCACUGCGCGGUGGGAUGGCAGAGGAAAUCAACCACGAUUUGUUCCCAGAUCUGAGUGAAGUGGAAAAUAAGAUUGGCAGGGAAACACCGCAAAGUCUUCUGAUUUGGAUGAGGGAUGCUGCGGACUGCGAAGAUGGUUGGAGGUCUGAUGUGGUCGACCGGGGAGACCGCAGCUCUGCCUUCGGGAGCAGCUUUUCUGACAAAAUAAGCAGCUUAAAACAAGAGAUGCGGUGGCUGCGUUCUGCCGAUGUGAAGAUUCUGCGCCAGCUGGUGGCCGUUCACGAAGGUAUUGAGGCCAUGCGUUGGCUGAUGGAGGAGCGGGGGCCUUAACCAGCCGUGGCAGCAGCUUGACAGGCAGCCUGAGCAGCCUGGUGACUGUGGAGGAGCACGGGCUCUCCAUGUCACCCUGCAGAGAAAGCCAGAGUCCAACUGAGGAUUUCACUGAAAACUCUGGCGAGGAAUCAGCAGAUCACCCACCACACGCUGAUGAUGGUGAAUCAAACCACAAGAGCUCCUUUGACAUGCUGAUCCCCGAGUCUACUGAGGAAAGACCUCCUAGUCCUUCCACCUUCAAGUUUAAAGUCAGUCGUUCCACACAUGGCAGCCGUGGAUGGUCCUCAUCUGGUCCUGCCAACUGUUUGGUUGGUGCCAAAUUAGAAAACUCACAACCACAGGAUUCGGAUGUAGCUCCGUUACAAGACAUCAAAGACGGUGCUGACACCAUCAGAAGAGCUCUCCUCAGAUCUAACAUGGCAAGCAGCAAAGUGAAAAAUAGAUUUUCCCUCACUAAGCAGUCAGGAGAGACACAAACGGAGCAUCAAACUGAAGAGAGUUUCAAAGCCUCACAGAACAAUUCCAUGGAAGAAGAAGAGAGUGCGCCCAAUAGAGACACGGCUUUGCUGGGAUAUGAUGCUCAGUGGUGCUGGGUGGAGUCACAGGACGAUGUAACGUUUCUAUGAUCUUCUUUAAAGCUCAACUUAAAUGUAUGAUAUUUGGUUAAAUACAGUUAACAGUUAACUGCCAGCAAUGGAGUGGGAUUUAAAAUGCACUUUGACACUGAUAAAUGAAUGAUGAAUGAUUCUUGAAGAUUAAUAUGCAACUGUCUCUUUUUCCCUAUUCAUCUGCUUUUGUUAAGGAUGUACACUGUUUGAGUGUGUUUAAGGUGUUCCCAGGGAGAAAAAAACCCACUUUUAUUUAAAAUUAAGGAAAUAGCUAAAUAAGGAAGCUCUAUUAGAAGAUAUCUAGAAAUAUUAUGUCCUUGUCUAAAGUAUAUUUUAUACAUUGGUGACUUGAAUCAAAGCGAUACUAAUCAUGAAAUCCAU
Long non-coding RNA from Anoplopoma fimbria (sablefish), 1479 nucleotides. RefSeq lists it as uncharacterized. The transcript is spliced from 5 exons. NCBI's taxonomy places the organism in Eukaryota, Metazoa, Chordata, Actinopteri, Perciformes, Anoplopomatidae. The record is from RefSeq and is a predicted model, not a curated record.